UCUCUUCAUCAUCUUCUUCUUCAGAAAAAAAAAAGAAGCAUUGUUAAUAUUUAUAUUUUAUUUUGUCAAAUUUUUCUGUUCUGAAAUUUUGAUAUACACAGACUCUUCCAUAUCGCGAGAAGGAAUAUGCAAGUGGGAAUCGUUUUUACCUCUGCUGAGAAAGGAAGGAUAUUGAUGUGUUGGUUGAAAUAUCUGCACAUUCCUUGCUUAAGAAAAUGUGGGAACAAGGUUUUAGCAUGGUUCUCGGAAAUGGAUUAUCCCUAUAUAAAUAUAUGACAGGACACAAUUUUUGGAUUCUCUGUUUCAAAGAAAUCUUGAGAGGAAUGACAACCAACUACUUCUUUGGUAUCAUAAGUUAUACAGGCUGAAACUCUUUGAAGGCCAUGGGGAAAUACACUUUGCAUUGUCGCUUACUUUCAUGAAGCUUUCUUCUGUCCGAUAAGACAUGUUAACCAUCGCCAGUUCCCAAGUAUUUAGAGAGAAUAAUGGAAAGGCAAUUUAAUUAGGGGUAUUAAUUUGAAAUGCCUGGAACCAUUGUGGAACAGAUAUUAAACAUUCGGAUUUAAUUCUGCCUCUUCCUUUUGAUUAAAUUGAAUAUCAUCAUCAUUCUACAUUCGUUGUUGUUAGAUUCUGGACAUUACCAAUUCGCGCGGUGAGGCAUUUGUGUAAGUAUCACCAACAGUAGAUCAUGAAGGUUCAUCAGCAAUGGAAUAUACAGCAAAAGGACAAGGAGCAUCAAAUUAAGAAAAUGUCAAAAUGUCACCACCAUUAGAAAUGAUGAAGAAUUAGGAAAUGAUUGUGGCCAGACUCAAUAUGGUAAUAAUUAUUAUAAGGUUCCAGGUUGGUGUGUGCCUUCGUUGCCAGUACGUGGUGACUGGGUCGAAUUCAAGCUUUAUGCCGUGGAAUCUUGAAUGGCUUAAUUCAUUUUUUGGUUGUGUAUCUGUACAUUCUAGGAGAAAGUUGUCGAAAAGAGACUGGAAAAAUCCUACGAGUAGAAAUUAUGUGUGGAAGAAAAUCCAUGGUAAUAAUAUUACUUUCGGAAAGGAUCAUAUGCAGAUGGAUUACUAACCGUCAUCACAGAUGGAUGGCCAAGAGUUGCUGUUAUUGGUGUUCUAUGUAAUGCAGUGAAAGACUUGCAAACGAUUACGUGAAUAGUAGCAACAAAGAAUGACGAGAGGCGAUCUUCUCACAAGUUAUUUCAGAUGAAUGGUGCAGUGGUGAGACAAGUUAUUCUUCCAACUCCAUGAUUCAGGCAUCUCUAUGUCUCUCAUAUUUUUAAGAUAGAUGUGCUCUGCUAAUAAUCUGCCAUCUUUCAGAGUUGCUAGAACUUAACAAGAAAAAAUAUCUAAAAAUGACAAACCGCUUUGAGGCGAGCUCUUCAAACCCAUAUUUUCUUUUGUUGGUGACUACAAUAAAUGUGUACAGUUCCUUGAUAUAUACUGUAUUUCAAAUCAAACGUGUUGUCUAUUUU
Molecule: long non-coding RNA, 1471 nt
Organism: Papaver somniferum (opium poppy)
Lineage: Eukaryota; Viridiplantae; Streptophyta; Magnoliopsida; Ranunculales; Papaveraceae
Exons: 3
Source: RefSeq, a predicted model, not a curated record